Long non-coding RNA from Sitodiplosis mosellana (orange wheat blossom midge), 477 nucleotides. RefSeq lists it as uncharacterized. Lineage: Eukaryota; Metazoa; Arthropoda; Insecta; Diptera; Cecidomyiidae. The transcript is spliced from 2 exons. The record is from RefSeq and is a predicted model, not a curated record.
UGUCAAAGCGACAGCAAGUUUUUUUUACAUUGAUUACAUAAGGAAAUUGCUAUCUUGCAAAGUCGACAUCGCAGUGUUCACUUUUUUCUCUUUUUCAAACUAAAAAGGAAUAUAUUUUCAAGACCAAGAAAGUCUUAAAAUAAAUCUUUGUUGUAAUUAAAUCGAAGCAAACAAUUGAAAGAUGAGUUUCUUCUCGAGAGUUUUGGGACGCAACUCCACCUACGUCCUUGGUAUCGUCAUCACCGCAUUCGUAAUUGACCGAACUGUUGAAAUCGGAGCCGAAUAUGUGUGGAAGACACAGAACAAAGGCUUGACCUUCGAAGAAAUUAAGGAUCGAUUCCAGGAAUAGGCGAGCCAUCAUCGAGAGUUACCAUGAUUCAAUUGCAAAGGUGUCGCGGAAUUAUUUAAAUCGAUUAUGUUUCACUUUAAGUAGUACUGUCUAAAUAAACGAAUAAAAAAAACUUCUGAAGAAGAAAA